GGUCACUUUAGAACAUGGCUAAUUCUGGGAAGUCAGGCACAAAACUUGGAAAGGGAGUGGACUGUGUAAGCAUGCAAAUGCUCACAGGAGCACACAAACACACAACGGGAAAAAAGCAUCGCAUAAGCACCUUAUUUUAUUUAAGCAUGAGGAAGGUGUGAGGGGAGCCAUACCAUAUGAGUUGCAGUUACCCUCGUUAGCCGUGCAAGACCAAAGGACUUUGUGCUUUCUCUUGCCUGACAGCUGUACCUUCCAAAGUUUAACCCUGUUGCUCUUUGUGUUCUUACCAGUUACCAGGAGCAAGAAGACAUGCGUAUUGCGGGAUACAGAGAACAAAGCAAUGCACCAUGGCCUAAAAGCGAAAACUACCCAGCAUGAAAAUGAUUUAAGAAUGGGAGAUGCCUAAUGGACACGUAUUGAAUGAAUUAAUGAGUUAAGGAUGUAGCAGGCAAAUAGGUACAUAUUUUGAAAUAUUUAUAUAUGAAACAAGCUUGGGGGGCACACAUCAUAAUGUAUAGAAAUACCUCUAUCCCUUUGCCUGAAUAUUUUAAUGUAGCGAGUGACUUACAGAUUCUAUCUGCAUUUCAUUCACGAAAAUGUUUUCAGGUUUUAAAAAUAGGAGUCUUGUUCAAUUGUCCUUGUGUCUGAUCUCAUCAAUAUACAGAAAAUGAAUUGGCUCUCCUUUUCCGGCACAUUAACUCUUGCAGACCACAGAGAUGAGGCACUCAGAGAGAAUUUUCUGAAUACCAAAUGGAUCAGAGAGUGAGGGCUGCAGCCCAUUGUUGACAGAUAGGCAGCCAAUCUUUCCCUGGUGGGUCAGGGUGUUCCUGCUCUGCACAACAUUGUUUUCAGCUGAUUUGUUUCACAGACUGCUCAAUAUGAUAAAGAGACUGGUUGAGAAUGCUCUCUUACAUAUGGCAUAGUGGAUUAUAUAAUACUACCUAAUGCAAAAUGUGAUUCUAGAAAUUGGGUGAAAUAUGCAUUUCAAUUUUUAAUGCUCUUCAUCGUUACUUAAGACAUGAGUUUUAUAUAGUUGUUUUUUAGUUUUGUUUUGUUUCGUUUUGUUUGAUGGAGUCUCGUUCUGUUGCCCAGGCUGGAGUGCAAUGGUGCAAUAUCAGCUUACUGCAACCACCACCUCCUGGGUUCAAGUGAUUCUCUUGCCUCAGCUUCCCGAGUAGCUGGGAUUAUAGGCACCACCAGCAUGCCCAGCUAGUUUUUUUAUUUUUAGUAGAGACGGGGUUUCACCAUGUUGGUUGGGUUGGUCUCGAACUCAUGACCUCAUGAGCCACCUGCCUCUGCCUCCCAAAGUGCUGGGAUUACAGGCGUGAGCCACCACACCCGGUGGAGUUUUAUAUGGUUUUAGAUAUAUCUAAGUGAUUUACACAGUAUAUCUUAUCUAUUAAGAAGUCUUGAACUUCUUGAAUAUGCAAACUAAAGGUACAAAAAUAAAUUUAGAUUUUGAAACCAAAGAACCUAUGAUUUUGAAAAGUAAUUUGGGAAGGAGAGAAAAUGAUGAGAUGUAGGUCAAAAUAUACAAACUUGAGUAGGUCUGUAUUGGGACCAACGUCUUCUUUCUUCAGCCAUCACUGCCUGCCCCAUGGGCAGCUCCCACGCUGGCCUUGACCGCUCAGCCUUUGUGUGCUGUCUCCGUGCCCUUCCCCUAAUCCUAAUGAGGAUUUUACCUCUCAGGGAAGAUGCCUGUCCUUUUUAAAAAUUUCCUCUGUGAAAGGCAUUUCAGCCAGCUGGGAAGCACAAGGAAUGAUCUUUGCUAAAGGCAUACCUCCCAGUCAACUGUUUGAACAUAAAGCCAACCUUUAUUUAAGAGUAGACAAUAAAUUGCUUUACAUACAGGAUUAUCUGUCCAAUUGUAAGUGAAAAUGGACCCACAACAGGCCAGGCACGGUGGUUCACGCCUGUAAUCCCAGCACUUUGGGAGGCUAAGGCAGGCGGAUCACCUGAGGUCAGGAGUUCAAGACCAGCCUGGCCAACAUGGUGAAACCCUGUCUCUACUAAAAAUACAAAAUUAGCUGCAUGUGGUGGCACAUGCCUGUAAUCCCAGCUGCUCAGGAGACCGAGGCAGGAGAAUCGUUUGAACCCGGAAGGGGCAGAGGUUGCAGUAAGCCAAGAUCAUGCUGUUGUACUCCAGCCUGAGGAACAAGAGUGAAACUUCAGCUCAAAAAAAAAAAGAAUUAGAAACCCUUAGCUUUUUUGGACAAUAAGCUACUUUUUGUUGUCUGAUUCUUAGUAACCCCAAUGUAAAUGAAGUGAACUUUGCCAAAAAGGAAGUGCAGUGGGAAUUUCCAGAACAUUACCAGCAAUGAAUGUUUCAGAGGCUUGGACAUGAGCCAGAUAAACAGAAGUAACAGCUGGGUGAUCUCAGAAUAUUUGAUGAAAAGAGUUUUUAACAGGAUCUCCCCCAUAUCCCAAAAUGAUCAUUGUAGCUCUUAAAGUUGGAGCUUGGGAUCACAAAACUCGCCUCCUUUGGGGUAGAGUGAUGUGAUGAAAAACUAUGGACCUUACUGAUCUGUAUUUAAAUCCCCCAUCUCAGCCACUUUCCAACUAUGCUCUGAUGGUUAAUUUUGUGUGUCAACCUGAUGGAGUCAUGGGGUGUCCAGACAUUUGUUUAAACAUUAUUCUGGGUAUGUCUAUGAGGAUGUUUUUAGAUGAGAUCAACAUUUGAAUCUGUAGACUAAGUGAAGCAGAUUGCCCUUUCAGUGUAAGUGGGCCCCAUCCAAUCUGUUGAAGUCCUGGACAGAACAAAAGACUGAGUAAGGGAGAAUUCACACUCUCUGCUUGAAUGCUGGGACGUCAGUAUUCUCCUGCCUUCAGACUCAGAGUAAACCUUACACCAUCGGCUCUUCUGACUGACUCUUAGGCCUUCAGACUCAGACUAGAACUGCUACCAUUGGCUCUCCUGGGCCUCCAGCUUUCCAAAUACAGAUCUUGGGACUUCUCAGUCCCCAUAAUUAUAUGAGACAAUUCCUCAAAAUAAAUCUUUUUAGUAUACUAAGAUAAACACACACACACACACACACACACACACACACACACACACCCCUAUUGGAUCUAUUUUCUCUGAAGAACGAAGACUAAAACAUAUGUGAUCUUGGAUGAGCUAAUCAACCUCUCAAUUCCUGGAUUCAAAAAGUGCAAAAUAUUGCAGAAUGUUAGAGAAAAUGUUUGUGGUGUGCUUUAUAUGUAUAUAUAAGCAUCCAAUAUUUUAAACCUAUUAUUAUUGUUUUUUGAUAGCAUUGUUCCAAAAAAUAAUUAUUUUGUUGUUUGUAUUUUAGGUAGCAUAGAAAAUAGUUUGUAAAUGGAAGGUGAAUCAAAGUAGAUUAAGUGAAAUAUUUUUAAAGUAUGUUCAGUGUUCUUUCAGAAUCCCUGAAGUGUAUCUAUAACUCUAAAUAGUAAAGUCUUGAAAAUUAAACCAAACUUUGACAUUAGUACUUUAUAUGCUUCAUGUUCCUUUAUUAUGUGCUUUAAUUUGAGACAUCCUGAAUCUUCAGUGGGUUUCUGUUGUACCAUAGUUGGAAAGCUAAGCCAAGGAGGAAAUAGGACAUGUCUCUCUAUUGAUGGACCAUAAAGUGUUCCCUCUUGUUUACAGCACUCUUUCCCUAUUAGGUCAUGUCAAUUUGCAGACUGAAAAAAACAUAGAAUUGGGACCACUUAGAGGGCAUUUUAAUUUGGCUACAUAGAACUUCAUGUGCCAUUUGGGGCACAAAUUUAUUACGGCCCCAGUGAAUAGAACAAAUACUGACCACAAGGACCAAUAGAACAUCAUUUAUCACAUUACACUGGUACCCAACUCCCACUCAGCAAAGCUGGAACAAAUAAUCCAAGCUUGAUUCUAAUUGACCUGGCUAUGGACUCAACCCUAGAAAUGAAUCUUGGGGGUAGAAGUCACUGAGUCCAUGUAGGCAGCAGGACCAGACUCAAGCGAAUCUGUGAAGCAGUGAAUGUUGCGUGGUGGGGACCUUCAUCUCCUAUUUGUAUCCUGUUUUCCUCCUUGCCAGGCCAACUUUUAUUAUAUUCUUCAUUUCUGUGUUGUGGUCUCUUAGAAUGUUUUAUUCCUGUUGCAGUUAAAGCUGAUUUAUAUUUUGAAAUUAGUGGCUUAAUAUUUUACCCUUCCGGUUGUAUUUGUCUUUUUUUUUUUUUUUUUUUUUGAGACGGAGUUUCGCUCUUGUUACCCAGGCUGGAGUGCAAUGGCGCAAUCUCGGCUCACUGCAACCUCCGCCUCCUAGGUUCAGGCAAUUCUCCUGCCUCAGCCUCCUGAGUAGCUGGGAUUACAGCA
This is a long non-coding RNA of Aotus nancymaae (Ma's night monkey), 4291 nucleotides long. The record is from Ensembl. Lineage: Eukaryota; Metazoa; Chordata; Mammalia; Primates; Aotidae.